Molecule: unclassified non-coding RNA, 278 nt
Filed under: Hevea brasiliensis (rubber tree)
Lineage: Eukaryota; Viridiplantae; Streptophyta; Magnoliopsida; Malpighiales; Euphorbiaceae
Source: RNAcentral
AUUAUUGCACAUUUUAAAAUUAAAGCAAAAAAAUAUAUACAUAAAAUUGCUAUUCCAUGGAAUAAUAUUCCUCGUUCAAAUUUGAAGAUAGCUAUUAACAUGGAACAUCAAUUACAUUCCCCACCUAUUCCACCCCAUUCAGUGAAAGCUUUGUUCUUCAGCUAGAUCAAACAAGGCAGGAGAAAAGUAUAAAAUAGAAAAUGCUCGUGUUUCUCAGCUGCUAACAUGUUUUGCACAAGAAACGUAUUCAUUAAAGAACCAACAUUAUCGAAAAUGAG